CCUACGGGAGGCAGCAGUGGGGAAUAUUGGGCAAUGGACGCAAGUCUGACCCAGCAACGCCGCGUGAAGGAAGAAGGUUUUCGGGUUGUAAACUUCUUUUAAGGGGGAAGAGCAGAAGACGGUACCGCUUGAAUAAGCUACGGCUAACUACGGGCCAGCAGCCGCGGUAAUACGUAGGUGGCAAGCGUUGUCCGGAUUUACUGGGUGUAAAGGGCGUGCAGCCGGAGAGACAAGUCCGAUGUGAAAUCCACAGGCUCAACCUGCGAACUGCAGUUGAAACUGGCAAACUGGAGUGGGUGAGAGGAUAGUGGAAUUCGAGGUGUAGGGGUGAAAUGCGUAGAUAUCUGGAGGAACAUCAGUGGCGAAGGCGACUAUCUGGCACAUAACUGACGCUGAGGAGCGAAAGCGUGGGUAGCAAACAGGAUUAGAUACCCUUGUAGUC
RNAcentral lists this ribosomal RNA (442 nucleotides) under uncultured bacterium. RNAcentral describes it as "partial 16S ribosomal RNA". It matches the Rfam family "Bacterial small subunit ribosomal RNA", at positions 338 to 795 of the family's 1533-position model. The record is from RNAcentral.